CAGCCGCCGCGGUAAUACGUAGGGUGCAAGCGUUAAUCGGAAUUACUGGGCGUAAAGCGUGCGCAGGCGGUUUGUUAAGACAGAUGUGAAAUCCCCGGGCUCAACCUGGGAACUGCAUUUGUGACUGGCAGGCUAGAGUAUGGCAGAGGGGGGUGGAAUUCCGCGUGUAGCAGUGAAAUGCGUAGAUAUGCGGAGGAACACCGAUGGCGAAGGCAGCCCCUGGGCCAAUACUGACGCUCAUGCACGAAAGCGUGGGGAGCAAACAGGAUUAGAUACCCGGGUAGUCCCUGUCUCUUAUACA
RNAcentral lists this ribosomal RNA (301 nucleotides) under uncultured bacterium. Its description in RNAcentral is "partial 16S ribosomal RNA". It matches the Rfam family "Bacterial small subunit ribosomal RNA", at positions 509 to 808 of the family's 1533-position model. The record is from RNAcentral.